RNAcentral lists this ribosomal RNA (253 nucleotides) under uncultured bacterium. Its description in RNAcentral is "partial 16S ribosomal RNA". It matches the Rfam family "Bacterial small subunit ribosomal RNA", at positions 524 to 776 of the family's 1533-position model. The record is from RNAcentral.
UACAGAGGUGGCAAGCGUUGUUCGGAAUUACUGGGCGUAAAGGGCGCGUAGGCGGCCAUCUAAGUCAGACGUGAAAUCCCCCGGCUUAACCUGGGAACUGCGUCUGAUACUGGAAGGCUUGAGUAUGGGAGAGGGAUGUAGAAUUCCAGGUGUAGCGGUGAAAUGCGUAGAUAUCAGGAGGAACACCGGUGGCGAAGGCGGGUCUCUGGGCCGAUACUGACGCUGAGGAGCGAAAGCGUGGGGAGCGAACAGG